AUGUAGGGAACUGAUUCAGCCAUUAUUCCAACCCGUUGUUUAGCAUUAUGCAGCCAAAUAGACACAAGCGUCAGUCUUUGCAGCAGGGGAAAAAAUAAUCUAAUCAGAAGCUGCAUAGUUUCAGUGCAACUUUUGGCCUGUUUCUUGGGCCUGCUUGUAACACUGGUGAAUUCCAUAAAUUCUGACAUGUAACAUCUGAGCAGUUGGUAAAAAUAAGAAAUAGUAACAGUGCCA
This is a non-coding RNA of Podarcis lilfordi (Lilford's wall lizard), 234 nucleotides long. NCBI's taxonomy places the organism in Eukaryota, Metazoa, Chordata, Lepidosauria, Squamata, Lacertidae. The record is from the annotation of a GenBank genome assembly.